RNAcentral lists this ribosomal RNA (496 nucleotides) under uncultured bacterium. Its description in RNAcentral is "partial 16S ribosomal RNA". The record is from RNAcentral.
GUAGUUAGCCGGGGCUUUCUUACAGGGUACCGUCACUUCUUCGUCCCCUGCGACAGAGGUUUACAAUCCGAAAACCUUCUUCCCUCACGCGGCGUUGCUGGGUCAGGCUUGCGCCCAUUGCCCAAUAUUCCCCACUGCUGCCUCCCGUAGGAGUCUGGACCGUGUCUCAGUUCCAGUGUGGCCGAUCAGCCUCUCAGCUCGGCUACCCAUCGUCGGCUUGGUGGGCUGUUAUCUCACCAACUACCUAAUGGGACGCGAACCCCUCUAAAAGCGAUAAAUCUUUGACCUCUUCCCGAUGCCGGGUUGUGGUCUUAUGCGGUAUUAGCAGUUGUUUCCACCUGUUAUUCCCCACUCUUAGGCAGGUUGUUCACGCGUUACUCACCCGUGCGCCACUAGAAUUAUCAAUUCCAUCCGAAAACUUCCUUAAUAAUCCCCGUUNACUUGCAUGUGUUAGGCACGCCGCCAGCGUUCGUCCUGAGCCAUGAUCAAACUCUGA